UUAAGUUAUUAAGGGCGCACGGUGGAUGCCUUGGCACUAGAAGCCGAUGAAGGACGUUACUAACGACGAUAUGCUUUGGGGAGCUGUAAGUAAGCUUUGAUCCAGAGAUUUCCGAAUGGGGAAACCCAGCAUGAGUUAUGUCAUGUUAUCGAUAUGUGAAUACAUAGCAUAUCAGAAGGCACACCCGGAGAACUGAAACAUCUUAGUACCCGGAGGAAGAGAAAGAAAAUUCGAUUCCCUUAGUAGCGGCGAGCGAAACGGGAAGAGCCCAAACCAACAAGCUUGCUUGUUGGGGUUGUAGGACACUCUAUACGGAGUUACAAAGGACGACAUUAGACGAAUCAUCUGGAAAGAUGAAUCAAAGAAGGUAAUAAUCCUGUAGUCGAAAAUGUUGUCUCUCUUGAGUGGAUCCUGAGUACGACGGAGCACGUGAAAUUCCGUCGGAAUCUGGGAGGACCAUCUCCUAAGGCUAAAUACUCUCUAGUGACCGAUAGUGAACCAGUACCGUGAGGGAAAGGUGAAAAGCACCCCGGAAGGGGAGUGAAAUAGAACCUGAAACCGUGUGCUUACAAGUAGUCAGAGCCCGUUAAUGGGUGAUGGCGUGCCUUUUGUAGAAUGAACCGGCGAGUUACGAUUUGAUGCAAGGUUAAGCAGUAAAUGUGGAGCCGUAGCGAAAGCGAGUCUGAAUAGGGCGUUUAGUAUUUGGUCGUAGACCCGAAACCAGGUGAUCUACCCUUGGUCAGGUUGAAGUUCAGGUAACACUGAAUGGAGGACCGAACCGACUUACGUUGAAAAGUGAGCGGAUGAACUGAGGGUAGCGGAGAAAUUCCAAUCGAACCUGGAGAUAGCUGGUUCUCUCCGAAAUAGCUUUAGGGCUAGCCUCAAGUGAUGAUUAUUGGAGGUAGAGCACUGUUUGGACGAGGGGCCCCUCUCGGGUUACCGAAUUCAGACAAACUCCGAAUGCCAAUUAAUUUAACUUGGGAGUCAGAACAUGGGUGAUAAGGUCCGUGUUCGAAAGGGAAACAGCCCAGACCACCAGCUAAGGUCCCAAAAUAUAUGUUAAGUGGAAAAGGAUGUGGCGUUGCCCAGACAACUAGGAUGUUGGCUUAGAAGCAGCCAUCAUUUAAAGAGUGCGUAAUAGCUCACUAGUCGAGUGACACUGCGCCGAAAAUGUACCGGGGCUAAACAUAUUACCGAAGCUGUGGAUUGUCCUUUGGACAAUGGUAGGAGAGCGUUCUAAGGGCGUUGAAGCAUGAUCGUAAGGACAUGUGGAGCGCUUAGAAGUGAGAAUGCCGGUGUGAGUAGCGAAAGACGGGUGAGAAUCCCGUCCACCGAUUGACUAAGGUUUCCAGAGGAAGGCUCGUCCGCUCUGGGUUAGUCGGGUCCUAAGCUGAGGCCGACAGGCGUAGGCGAUGGAUAACAGGUUGAUAUUCCUGUACCACCUAUAAUCGUUUUAAUCGAUGGGGGGACGCAGUAGGAUAGGCGAAGCGUGCGAUUGGAUUGCACGUCUAAGCAGUAAGGCUGAGUAUUAGGCAAAUCCGGUACUCGUUAAGGCUGAGCUGUGAUGGGGAAGACAUUGUGUCUUCGAGUCGUUGAUUUCACACUGCCGAGAAAAGCCUCUAGAUAGAAAAUAGGUGCCCGUACCGCAAACCGACACAGGUAGUCAAGAUGAGAAUUCUAAGGUGAGCGAGCGAACUCUCGUUAAGGAACUCGGCAAAAUGACCCCGUAACUUCGGGAGAAGGGGUGCUCUUUAGGGUUAACGCCCAGAAGAGCCGCAGUGAAUAGGCCCAAGCGACUGUUUAUCAAAACACAGGUCUCUGCUAAACCGUAAGGUGAUGUAUAGGCUGACGCCUGCCCGGUGCUGGAAGGUUAAGAGGAGUGGUUAGCUUCUGCGAAGCUACGAAUCGAAGCCCCAGUAAAACGGCGGCCGUAACUAUAACGGUCCUAAGGUAGCGAAAUUCCUUGUCGGGUAAGUUCCGACCCGCACGAAAGGCGUAACGAUUUGGGCACUGUCUCAACGAGAGACUCGGUGAAAUCAUAGUACCUGUGAAGAUGCAGGUUACCCGCGACAGGACGGAAAGACCCCGUGGAGCUUUACUGUAGCCUGAUAUUGAAAUUCGGCACAGCUUGUACAGGAUAGGUAGGAGCCUUUGAAACGUGAGCGCUAGCUUACGUGGAGGCGCUGGUGGGAUACUACCCUAGCUGUGUUGGCUUUCUAACCCGCACCACUUAUCGUGGUGGGAGACAGUGUCAGGCGGGCAGUUUGACUGGGGCGGUCGCCUCCUAAAAGGUAACGGAGGCGCUCAAAGGUUCCCUCAGAAUGGUUGGAAAUCAUUCAUAGAGUGUAAAGGCAUAAGGGAGCUUGACUGCGAGACCUACAAGUCGAGCAGGGUCGAAAGACGGACUUAGUGAUCCGGUGGUUCCGCAUGGAAGGGCCAUCGCUCAACGGAUAAAAGCUACCCCGGGGAUAACAGGCUUAUCUCCCCCAAGAGUUCACAUCGACGGGGAGGUUUGGCACCUCGAUGUCGGCUCAUCGCAUCCUGGGGCUGUAGUCGGUCCCAAGGGUUGGGCUGUUCGCCCAUUAAAGCGGUACGCGAGCUGGGUUCAGAACGUCGUGAGACAGUUCGGUCCCUAUCCGUCGUGGGCGUAGGAAAUUUGAGAGGAGCUGUCCUUAGUACGAGAGGACCGGGAUGGACAUACCUCUGGUGUACCAGUUGUCGUGCCAACGGCAUAGCUGGGUAGCUAUGUGUGGACGGGAUAAGUGCUGAAAGCAUCUAAGCAUGAAGCCCCCCUCAAGAUGAGAUUUCCCAACUUCGGUUAUAAGAUCCCUCAAAGAUGAUGAGGUUAAUAGGUUCGAGGUGGAAGCAUGGUGACAUGUGGAGCUGACGAAUACUAAUCGAUCGAAGACUUAAUCAA
Molecule: ribosomal RNA, 2917 nt
Filed under: Staphylococcus aureus
Lineage: Bacteria; Bacillati; Bacillota; Bacilli; Caryophanales; Staphylococcaceae
Description: bacterial LSU rRNA
Rfam family: Bacterial large subunit ribosomal RNA
Source: RNAcentral